RNAcentral lists this small nucleolar RNA (129 nucleotides) under Chinchilla lanigera (long-tailed chinchilla). RNAcentral's name for it is "Small nucleolar RNA SNORA11 (ENSCLAG00000019726.1)". It matches the Rfam family "Small nucleolar RNA SNORA11". Rfam says of the family: U107 (SNORA11) is a member of the H/ACA class of snoRNAs that guide the sites of modification of uridines to pseudouridines. Lineage: Eukaryota; Metazoa; Chordata; Mammalia; Rodentia; Chinchillidae. The record is from Rfam by way of RNAcentral.
UGGGGGGGUUAAAGCAGGUGGCCUGAAGAACAGCUUCUCUGUUUACAACACACCCAAGAGGAAUUUAGGGUCACUGUGAGAAGGGGUACAAAAACUUGCAACUUCCCUCUGGGCAAAUGUCCUACACAU